CGAGUGGCGGACGGGUGAGGAAUACAUCGGAAUCUACCUUUUCGUGGGGGAUAACGUAGGGAAACUUACGCUAAUACCGCAUACGACCUUCGGGUGAAAGCAGGGGACCUUCGGGCCUUGCGCGGAUAGAUGAGCCGAUGUCGGAUUAGCUAGUUGGCGGGGUAAAGGCCCACCAAGGCGACGAUCCGUAGCUGGUCUGAGAGGAUGAUCAGCCACACUGGAACUGAGACACGGUCCAGACUCCUACGGGAGGCAGCAGUGGGGAAUAUUGGACAAUGGGCGCAAGCCUGAUCCAGCCAUACCGCGUGGGUGAAGAAGGCCUUCGGGUUGUAAAGCCCUUUUGUUGGGAAAGAAAAGCAGCCAGUUAAUACCUGGUUGUUCUGACGGUACCCAAAGAAUAAGCACCGGCUAACUUCGUGCCAGCAGCCGCGGUAAUACGAAGGGUGCAAGCGUUACUCGGAAUUACUGGGCGUAAAGCGUGCGUAGGUGGUUGUUUAAGUCUGUUGUGAAAGCCCUGGGCUCAACCUGGGAAUUGCAGUGGAUACUGGGCGACUAGAGUGUGGUAGAGGGUAGUGGAAUUCCUGGUGUAGCAGUGAAAUGCGUAGAGAUCAGGAGGAACAUCCAUGGCGAAGGCAGCUACC
RNAcentral lists this ribosomal RNA (641 nucleotides) under Stenotrophomonas sp. I15B-00812. RNAcentral describes it as "bacterial SSU rRNA". It matches the Rfam family "Bacterial small subunit ribosomal RNA", at positions 92 to 729 of the family's 1533-position model. Lineage: Bacteria; Pseudomonadati; Pseudomonadota; Gammaproteobacteria; Lysobacterales; Lysobacteraceae. The record is from RNAcentral.